RNAcentral lists this ribosomal RNA (205 nucleotides) under uncultured Syntrophus sp. Its description in RNAcentral is "partial 16S ribosomal RNA". It matches the Rfam family "Bacterial small subunit ribosomal RNA", at positions 1180 to 1382 of the family's 1533-position model. Lineage: Bacteria; Pseudomonadati; Thermodesulfobacteriota; Syntrophia; Syntrophales; Syntrophaceae. The record is from RNAcentral.
UGACGUCAAAUCAUCAUGCCCCUUAUGACCUGGGCUACACACGUGCUACAAUGGCCGGUACAAAGAGUUGCGAAACUGUGAAGUUAAGCUAAUCUCAUAAAGCCGGUCUCAGUUCCGGAUUGUAGUCUGCAACUCGACUACAUGAAGUCGGAAUCGCUAGUAAUCGCGAAUCAGAAUGUCGCGGUGAAUACGUUCUCGAGUCCUU